This 294-nucleotide ribosomal RNA is filed under the name uncultured eukaryote. RNAcentral's name for it is "partial 18S ribosomal RNA". It matches the Rfam family "Eukaryotic small subunit ribosomal RNA", at positions 1469 to 1796 of the family's 1831-position model. The record is from RNAcentral.
AUCCUUAGACGAUCUGGGCUGCACGCGCGCUACAAUGGUAAAGCCAGAAAGUAUACAACCUUUUCUGAAAAGAAUGGGUAAUCACCAAACUUUAUCGUGACUGGGAUUGACUCUUGUAAUCAGAGUCAUGAACGAGGAAUUCCUAGUAAACGCAAGUCAUCAACUUGCAUUUAUUAUGUCUCUGCCCUUUGUACAGACUACCCGUCGCUACUAUCGAUGAAUGAUUUAGUGAGAAUAAAGGAGGCAACAAAUCUAUUCAAACUUGAUUAUUUAGAGAAAGUAUAAGUCGUAACA